RNAcentral lists this ribosomal RNA (253 nucleotides) under uncultured bacterium. RNAcentral's name for it is "partial 16S ribosomal RNA". It matches the Rfam family "Bacterial small subunit ribosomal RNA", at positions 524 to 776 of the family's 1533-position model. The record is from RNAcentral.
UACAGAGGCCCCAAGCGUUACUGAGAAUCACUGGGUUUAAAGGGUGCGUAGGUGGUCCGUUAAGUUCGUUGUGAAAGCCCUGGGCUCAACCCAGGAACUGCUUCGAAUACUGGCGGACUUGAGGCUAGUAGAGGUCACUGGAACUGACGGUGGAGCGGUGAAAUGCGUAGAUAUCAAGAGGAACACCAGUGGCGAAGGCGGGUCUCUGGGCCGAUACUGACGCUGAGGAGCGAAAGCGUGGGGAGCGAACAGG